UUAAAUUGAAGAGUUUGAUCAUGGCUCAGAUUGAACGCUGGCGGCAGGCCUAACACAUGCAAGUCGAACGGUAACAGGAAGCAGCUUGCUGCUUCGCUGACGAGUGGCGGACGGGUGAGUAAUGUCUGGGAAACUGCCUGAUGGAGGGGGAUAACUACUGGAAACGGUGGCUAAUACCGCAUAACGUCGCAAGACCAAAGAGGGGGACCUUCGGGCCUCUUGCCAUCAGAUGUGCCCAGAUGGGAUUAGCUUGUUGGUGAGGUAACGGCUCACCAAGGCGACGAUCCCUAGCUGGUCUGAGAGGAUGACCAGCCACACUGGAACUGAGACACGGUCCAGACUCCUACGGGAGGCAGCAGUGGGGAAUAUUGCACAAUGGGCGCAAGCCUGAUGCAGCCAUGCCGCGUGUAUGAAGAAGGCCUUCGGGUUGUAAAGUACUUUCAGCGGGGAGGAAGGUGUUGUGGUUAAUAACCGCAGCAAUUGACGUUACCCGCAGAAGAAGCACCGGCUAACUCCGUGCCAGCAGCCGCGGUAAUACGGAGGGUGCAAGCGUUAAUCGGAAUUACUGGGCGUAAAGCGCACGCAGGCGGUCUGUCAAGUCGGAUGUGAAAUCCCCGGGCUCAACCUGGGAACUGCAUUCGAAACUGGCAGGCUUGAGUCUUGUAGAGGGGGGUAGAAUUCCAGGUGUAGCGGUGAAAUGCGUAGAGAUCUGGAGGAAUACCGGUGGCGAAGGCGGCCCCCUGGACAAAGACUGACGCUCAGGUGCGAAAGCGUGGGGAGCAAACAGGAUUAGAUACCCUGGUAGUCCACGCCGUAAACGAUGUCUACUUGGAGGUUGUGCCCUUGAGGCGUGGCUUCCGGAGCUAACGCGUUAAGUAGACCGCCUGGGGAGUACGGCCGCAAGGUUAAAACUCAAAUGAAUUGACGGGGGCCCGCACAAGCGGUGGAGCAUGUGGUUUAAUUCGAUGCAACGCGAAGAACCUUACCUGGUCUUGACAUCCACAGAAGAAUCCAGAGAUGGAUUUGUGCCUUCGGGAACUGUGAGACAGGUGCUGCAUGGCUGUCGUCAGCUCGUGUUGUGAAAUGUUGGGUUAAGUCCCGCAACGAGCGCAACCCUUAUCCUUUGUUGCCAGCGGUUAGGCCGGGAACUCAAAGGAGACUGCCAGUGAUAAACUGGAGGAAGGUGGGGAUGACGUCAAGUCAUCAUGGCCCUUACGACCAGGGCUACACACGUGCUACAAUGGCGCAUACAAAGAGAAGCGACCUCGCGAGAGCAAGCGGACCUCAUAAAGUGCGUCGUAGUCCGGAUUGGAGUCUGCAACUCGACUCCAUGAAGUCGGAAUCGCUAGUAAUCGUGGAUCAGAAUGCCACGGUGAAUACGUUCCCGGGCCUUGUACACACCGCCCGUCACACCAUGGGAGUGGGUUGCAAAAGAAGUAGGUAGCUUAACCUUCGGGAGGGCGCUUACCACUUUGUGAUUCAUGACUGGGGUGAAGUCGUAACAAGGUAACCGUAGGGGAACCUGCGGUUGGAUCACCUCCUUACCUUAAAGA
Molecule: ribosomal RNA, 1553 nt
Filed under: Salmonella enterica subsp. enterica serovar Enteritidis
Lineage: Bacteria; Pseudomonadati; Pseudomonadota; Gammaproteobacteria; Enterobacterales; Enterobacteriaceae
Description: bacterial SSU rRNA
Rfam family: Bacterial small subunit ribosomal RNA
Source: RNAcentral